RNAcentral lists this ribosomal RNA (274 nucleotides) under uncultured bacterium. Its description in RNAcentral is "partial 16S ribosomal RNA". It matches the Rfam family "Bacterial small subunit ribosomal RNA", at positions 523 to 796 of the family's 1533-position model. The record is from RNAcentral.
CUACGAAGGGGGCUAGCGUUGUUCGGAAUCACUGGGCGUAAAGCGCGCGUAGGUGGAUCAAUUAGUUGAGGGUGAAAUCCCGGGGCUCAACCUCGGAACUGCCUUCAAUACUGUUGAUCUUGAGACCGAGAGAGGUGAGUGGAAUUCCUAGUGUAGAGGUGAAAUUCGUAGAUAUUAGGAAGAACACCAGUGGCGAAGGCGGCUCACUGGCUCGGUACUGACGCUGAGGUGCGAAAGCGUGGGGAGCAAACAGGAUUAGAAACCCUUGUAGUCC